RNAcentral lists this ribosomal RNA (49 nucleotides) under Beauveria brongniartii. Its description in RNAcentral is "partial 28S ribosomal RNA". Lineage: Eukaryota; Fungi; Ascomycota; Sordariomycetes; Hypocreales; Cordycipitaceae. RNAcentral also lists the same sequence under 2 other names. The record is from RNAcentral.
UUGACCUCGAAUCAGGUAGGACUACCCGCUGAACUUAAGCAUAUCAAUA